Long non-coding RNA from Malus domestica (apple), 1027 nucleotides. RefSeq lists it as uncharacterized. The record is from RefSeq and is a predicted model, not a curated record. Lineage: Eukaryota; Viridiplantae; Streptophyta; Magnoliopsida; Rosales; Rosaceae.
UCAAAGGCUCUGCUUCCAAUUCUUCUCGACAUUUCUUUACGUUUCCACUUCUCUCUCUCUCUCACUUCGCUGUCUUCUCUCCUCUCAUCUCUCACUCUUCCUCUGACUCUCCUGCUCUACUGAAAGAACCAUAAUUUUUCAUCUUCCCCUCUUCUUGAGAUUUUCUUGGUGGGUUUUCGUUCUCAGGUCCCGUAUGUAAAAGGGUUUUGGUGAUGAAGAUCGGUGACAAUGAUCGGAGGUCGUCGCUGUGUGCGUGAUCCCAAUGGCACUGGUCUUCAAUUCUGGUAAUUUCUAUGGUUUUGUGUUGCGUAAUAUUUGGGGAUUUGGUUUGGGUCUGUGGGUUCUAACCCCAAGUACCGCAUCAGCAUGAAUCCAAUUCUAAAUUAAGGGAGAUGAUGCAAAACCCAGAAAUUCUUCAUCAGUUGGCUUCUCCUGAGACUAUACAAGUAUAUUUAUUCUGGGUGCCUAAGGUUUUGAGUUUUGAAGUUUGUGUUUGACUAAUUGACCAUUGAGAUAGCCGUCCUAUAUGACACCGCCAAGGCUCUCAAUUCUGAGUCUUUCUUAUUUACAAUUUGGUUUGUGGUCUUUUGACAUCUUUGUUGCUCUACCCAUCACCAAGCACAGCUUGACAAUCCCCAGCAUUAGCAACUAUGAAGGUCCUGCAAAAAUUACAAUAUACUCUUGACUUUGCAGCAAUCACUUUUGUCGUAACUGGUCGGCAACAGUAACAGUCAAACCAGUAAGAAGUGAGAUAGAUUUUUCUUUGAUAUGUUUGAUAUAUAUAGCCUGAAUUGAUAUUUCUCCCUUAGCUCCUUGCGGAAUCCAUAUUGAUUAUAUGGAUUACCUAUGCAACUUGAUUGAAGUUUGAUGUAAUUUCAUAUUGUUAAAUCCCUUUAAAUGGAUGAGAAAAUAUUGUUGAACUCCUCAAACUUUAUUUGAGCUCUACUUUCAAUUUAAUUUCAUAUCAGUGAGAGAAUGUAAUUUUGUUUGAAAGGUUGGAAAAAGCUAAUAACUCUUGGUAAAAUGU